AAUAGAUACCCCGGUAGUCCAUGCCGUAAACGUUGGGCACUAGGUGUGGGGCUCAUUCCACGAGUUCCGUGCCGCAGCAAACGCAUUAAGUGCCCCGCCUGGGGAGUACGGCCGCAAGGCUAAAACUCAAAGGAAUUGACGGGGGCCCGCACAAGCGGCGGAGCAUGCGGAUUAAUUCGAUGCAACGCGAAGAACCUUACCAAGGCUUGACAUGCACGGGAAGCCACCAGAGAUGGUGGUCUCUUUGGACACUCGUGCACAGGUGGUGCAUGGUUGUCGUCAGCUCGUGUCGUGAGAUGUUGGGUUAAGUCCCGCAACGAGCGCAACCCUCGUCCCAUGUUGCCAGCGGGUUAUGCCGGGGACUCAUGGGAGACUGCCGGGGUCAACUCGGAGGAAGGUGGGGAUGACGUCAAAUCAUCAUGCCCCUUAUGUCUUGGGCUUCACGCAUGCUACAAUGGCCGGUACAAAGGGCUGCGAUACCGUAAGGUGGAGCGAAUCCCGAAAAAGCCGGUCUCGAGUUCGGAUUGGGGU
This 531-nucleotide ribosomal RNA is filed under the name uncultured bacterium. RNAcentral describes it as "bacterial SSU rRNA". It matches the Rfam family "Bacterial small subunit ribosomal RNA", at positions 777 to 1304 of the family's 1533-position model. The record is from RNAcentral.